AACAUUUCAAUCCCUUUCUCUAUUAACCACAACCUGAGUUGCAGCCUCCGCCGCCUCAAAACCUAGAUUUGCCGUCGCCGAUGACGUCUUCUAACGGCAAAGAGAGCCACGAGAAGGUGUUUCACUCGCCGCAGUGCUCGUCGACUAGCUACGACAACGGUUAUUGGACGCCGAAGUAGAGCAGUGCAUCCUCGUCGCUUGGCGUGCGCCGGUAGCGCACCUCCUGAACCUGCGCACCCCUCUUUGUAUCCUUACAGAGUAGCCCAAGCCCACUCGGAUCUCCAACAACGAACCAUUCCUUGAGAAGUACCGAUCCAGGGGAGGCGAGUCUCUGACGCCGACAAGGAGGAGUGGACGAAGCGAUUCCCUUCGUGUCUCUUGUGUUGCGGCUCCCAGUUUGAUUUGGAAGCUAAUCUCUUCGAGGUAACUAUCAAGCUUGCAGUUGUUUAGUCAUUUAUCUCUCUGUUUCUGCAACUUAUGGAACGAAGGGUUAUGGGAAAGAGUACAUAAAUCGUUACAAGAUGAUGACAAAGUUUGUUCAUUUACUUUUAUCAAACCGUGUAGAAACUGAACAAAUAAAGUUAGAUGGUGAAAUUUCCAAGUAUUCUUUUCCUGUUUUAGAUUUCAUCAUCAAAGAGUAGUGCCAUUAGUUAUUCUCGUUUGUGAAAUUGCUUGUGUUGGCAAGUCGCUACCAACUUAAAAAAAAAAAAAAAAAAAAAAAAAAAAAAUUUUAUUAAUAACUCACACACCCUACAUAUGUCAGUGAGGUUUGAACCCAUGACCUCAAAGUUAUCAAUUAAACACCUUAACCAACCAAGCCACGGCUCACCGAUGUCGCUACCAACUCACGCAAAGGCUAAAUUUGCCCAAUGUCAUGCAUGUCUUUUUAAUAUGUUUAUUUGUGGAGCAUUCAUGAUUCUCUCUCUAAGAAUACGAAAUGACAAAGAAAGUUUGGAGUGUGUAGUUAGGGUUGAAGAAAGGAUUUGGUUGGCUGAGGGCCAAUUGUGAGCUCAGAGCUCUCUUUCUGAUUUGUAAUGUAUAAGAUUGCUAUCAGAUAGCAUCUCUCGCCGGAGGUGAGAUCUAGGCAAAUUUUGGUUUUGUUAUCAUUGGCAUGUAUUACGCGUUUGAUAUUAUGUUUAGGGAGUUGAAAUGCAUGUGAAUGUUGGUUUUGUAGUCAUUGUUUGCUCUCUCCAUGUCUAUGCAAGGAUAUGAUACCCGGAUUCUUGAAGUAAGGGGAGCUGGAUUGAGCACACAUGGGACCGAAUUAGGGGAAAUAAAUGGUACGUAGGUGUCUUGAUUUAUGUCGGAACUUUCACUUGUUAAGAAAGAAAUGAAGAUUAUAACUUAUCAUAAACUUGUUUAUUUUCUGUGCAUUUAGCUGAGAAAACUGUCGUGUUUUUGAGUUUGCACUAUGAUAAAAUUCCUUUAUGUAGAACCAAACUGAGCAUACUUUAUUUGCCUGUGGUGCUCAACCAGACCCUGCUCAGGUGCUAAAUGUUCAUGUUCCGUUCGGUGCAAUAUAUGCUGCUCUGCAUCAUCAAGUUUAUGCUCAAGACAUGACGGAUACAAUCUCUCGCCUGAGGUGAAAUAACGGAUUUGGUUGGCCGGGUGCUAAUUGUGAAUCAGAGCUCUCAUUCUGUUUUGUUCUGUUACUCUGUAUAAGAUUGCUUAAUGUUGUUUUUGGAUUUGACAACGUUUAGCCAAAUAUGCGUGAAUAACGUAAUUGCUGC
RNAcentral lists this long non-coding RNA (1730 nucleotides) under Fragaria vesca (wild strawberry). Its description in RNAcentral is "long non-coding RNA (FVES_LNC000441)". The record is from RNAcentral. Lineage: Eukaryota; Viridiplantae; Streptophyta; Magnoliopsida; Rosales; Rosaceae.